Molecule: ribosomal RNA, 365 nt
Filed under: uncultured bacterium
Lineage: Bacteria
Description: bacterial SSU rRNA
Rfam family: Bacterial small subunit ribosomal RNA
Source: RNAcentral
AACGAACGCUGGCGGCAUGCCUAACACAUGCAAGUCGAACGGGAUCCGGACUUCGGUUCGGUGAGAGUGGCGGACGGGUGAGUAACGCGUGGGAACCUGCCCAGUGGUGGGGGAUAACUGCGGGAAACUGCAGCUAAUACCGCAUGAGCCCGAGAGGGGAAGAUUUAUCGCCAUUGGAGGGGCCCGCGUUCGAUUAGGUAGUUGGUGAGGUAAUGGCUCACCAAGCCGACGAUCGANAGCUGGUCUGAGAGGAUGAUCAGCCACACUGGGACUGAGAUACGGCCCAGACUCCUACGGGAGGCAGCAGUGGGGAAUAUUGGACAAGUGGGGGCAACCUGAUCCAGCAAUGCCGCGUGAGUGAUGAA